AAACCUGCAAAAACGCAAUCUGCUGUGCUGAAGAAAUGGUAUAUAUUCAAUACGACGAGCAAUAUAUGAUCGCCAAAGGGAAGAAAUAGGGAAAGGAUGAGAAGAACGACAGUAAGAAAACAAAAACUUGAGUAUCUAUCUAUGUUUACUUGUCGGAAAUGGAGAGCAGCAGCAGCAAAUAUCGCAAUAACUGCAGAUAAAAUGACGAAACCAAAAGAAGCUCCAAAACGGUAAAGGGCUCCAGCAGCAAAUCCACAACAGGCGACUAAGAUAAGGCAAAUGAUGCCUUCACUCCUGCCUGAGAUAAACCCCGUAGAGACCUCGUUCACAUUCUUGUCCUUCCAUCGUAGGGUUACUGCACAAGCUGAAACGACAGAGUAGCCUGUC
Molecule: long non-coding RNA, 387 nt
Organism: Ipomoea nil (Japanese morning glory)
Lineage: Eukaryota; Viridiplantae; Streptophyta; Magnoliopsida; Solanales; Convolvulaceae
Exons: 2
Source: RefSeq, a predicted model, not a curated record